UUCCGACCUAAUUAAGCUUAGAUUCUUUCGAGAGAUCUUUUUUGUACUCCGCCUUUUCGACAUUAAGAAAUUAUUUGUUCCGUCUUCGUCUAUGGACGUAGGUCGUUGGCCGAACUACGUAAUCAUCGGUGUGCUUUUUCUUUUUCUUUUCGUUUCCUGCAUUAAAUUAUUUUCUGGAUCUAUUUUUCGCUGUUCCGAUUUUAACAUAUAUCUUUUGAAAAGUCUUCAAUCUGCUGCGUAUUAGUUUUAAUUUAUUUAGAAAAAUUUUGCAUAUUUUGUAAUACUAAAUUUUUAAAAAAAAUUAAAUUUAUAGGAAGAAUAAUUAUAAUCUUUAGAUAAAAACAAAACUAACACAUGGCUACGAGUCCCUAAUCUGCUGCUAUGUGUUAGUUUUACUUAUAUCUAAAAAAUAAUUGGGUAUGUUUUAAUAUUCAAGGGGCAAUUGCUUAUAUACUCCUGAAAAGUUUUCAACUUUCCGAUUUAUCCCUCUUAGAAGGCUAAUAUUGAAAAUACCAUUUCCAUGUUCCAACCUAUUUUUAAUUGACAAUAUGUUUAAUUAAUUGAGAUAAACAUUUUUUCAUCGACAUUUUUUUUUUUUCUUAAUUAACCACGAUGGCCCGGCCCUCAGGUUCCAUCUACAAUUUAUGGUGGAUAUUGGCAUGGACUACCUUUAUUAAGGGACUAAAUCUGCUUUAAUUUAUGGGCAGCAUUUAACCUCAAGUUUAAUAUAGAAUAUUUUUUAAUGUAUAUAUACACAUACUUAUGUGGUAAUUAAGACGCUAAAGAGUGCAUCCGUUUAUGAAAUAAUAUUUUAAGGCAUAAAUAUUUUUAUUCUUGAAAUGAUUAAAUAGUUUAUGAUAGAGAGGAGUUAAAACAAAUUUUGUAUUUGAUAUGACCUCUACUUAUUCUCUAGAAUAACUUAAAAUAUAUUUGAUUAUUUUCUUAGUAAUAAUAGAAAAUAAUAAAAUAUAUAUAUAUAUAUAUAUAUAUAUAUAUAGAUUAUAUUAUACUUAUGUACUUAUAUAUAUACUAUAUAUAAAACAUUUAAUUUAUAUAAUAUAUAAAUACAAUACUAUACAUACAUUUUUACGAUAGAUAUAUGUAGUAUUAUAUGUAAUGUGAUAUAUAUAUGUAUGUAUUAUAUGUAUUGUAAUAUAUAGUACUAUAUAUAUAUUAAUAAUAUAUAAUUGAGCUCUAUAUUUUAAAAGUAUUAAUAAUUGGGAUGUUUAUAAGUUUCAGACCUUGGAUUAGCAUUAGUUACGGCUAUUAGGAGUAUAGUGAGUUCCUAGGAGUUGAAUUGAUUGGUUGGGCUGCAUAAGUAGAUCUUAGGAAUAAAAUUAAUAACACAUGUACGAUCUAACUGCGAAACAGUUUACAGCAUCAAGUGCUUGAUGCUUUUUCAGCUCAGUAGCUGGAAUCAGUAUAUAAAAUUGUAUCAUCAUUUUUUGAGGAUAUUUAUUUCAACAUUCAUUUUUUUGUUACUUGGAUGGACAGAGAAACAAUAUCGGAAAAUAUGUGAAAUUUGCAUUUCCAGAUAGUUUUAAUAGUUUAGAUCUGUUUACGGAGCAAUCCUCAUUUGGAAUUAUCAUCGAAAACAAAUCGCCGUAGUAAACAGAACGUUUACUAGCGAUAGUUUUUCUAGGCACGUUAUAUAUAUAUAGAGUCCGGUAUGCUAUCAUACCAUCAAGCACUUGGUUGCUAUUAGUUGUUCUGCCGUUAGAUGUAACCCUGAUUAUUUUUAACCAGUUAGAUUACAUUCAAACCAAUCACCAACUAUGUAUUUAUUAUUAACUAGGGGCCACAUAAGCCUAACGUACAUUUAUCAAUAUCAAGGGUAAAAACUUAAUAGACAACAACUUGGAUGACUAUUGAUUAGUAUCAGCUAGAUUGAUAUAUAUUCUUUAUAAUAUAUGUAAUAUAUAUAUAUAUAUAUAUUAUAUAUAUAUUAUAUAUAUAUAGAUAAUAGUAGGCAACUGUGCGGUGAGUAUUAGGAAGUACGCAGCCUUGUGGCUACCUAAUUUUCUAACACCCAUCAAGUUUAAUGGGUGGUUGAAUGAGAGAUGGGAAUGAAGAUAUUGAGGAGAAAUAAGAAGAAAUUUAAGGAGAAGAGAAAUAUGAGACACUCAAUUUUCCUGAAUUAUCUCAUCCUCUCUCUCAUUCUAACCACUCAUUCAAACUUGAUGGGUGUAGUAGAAUUAGGAACACAAAACUGCUGUGCUCCCUAAUAGUACAAGUUUUUUGACCGUGUAGAACUCUACUCUUCGGAUCAUUUCAACCACUAAUAGAUUAUACUAUUACAUCAACCACCCACUUCAACCCUAAGGGGCCCACAUCAUCUUACCGCAUAUCUCUUUAAUCUAAUAGCUAAAUAAAUCUACAAGCACAAUAACUUAGACAUUUUUAAAAGAGUAGAAAUCAAUAUAAUAUAUAUAAUCUAUAUAUAUAUAGUAUAUAUAUAUAUAUUAUCUAUACUAUAUAUAUUAUAAAAUUAGGCUACUAUACUAUAUAAUAACAUCAAGUGCAUGUGGUUACCAAUUUUUGGCAUUGGAUAGAGAUAUGCGUAGGAAAUGAUAUGGGGCCUAGGUUAAGUGGAUAGUAUAGUGUGGUUGAAUAGUAUGAUCUAACGGUGUGAAAAAUUAUCAAAAUGGUUAGAUUGAACGGCGAAGAAAAUUUGGUAGCACCAAAUGUUAGUGUAGUUAAAUAGCAUAGUAUGCCGGGACCUAUUUAUAGUAUAUAUCUAUAUAUAUAUAUAUAUAUAGAAUUAAGCUGGAAUACUAUUAAUAGUAAAACACUCUUUUUGCUAUCAAGUUUUUAAUCCUUGGAUGAAAAAUUGUAGGGUAAGGAUGAUAUUAGUCGGUUAGAGUUGAGUGGUCCCCCAAGGGUUGAGUGGUCCCCACUGGGUUAUAGUAUUUAAUCCAAUGGUUAGAAAUAAUGAAAAGAGUUGAUCUAAAGGCUAAAAAACUGGUAGCAAUAAUGAAACUUUGCUACUAAUAGUAGCCCAGUCCAACUCUAUAUAUAUAUAUUAUCAUCAUGAGAACACCACAAUGGGAAAAGCCUUUUGUGGAACAAGUAUCUACAUCAGAUUUUCUUUUUCAUUAUUGUCGGAUUUUAGUAAUGUAAAAUAAUACAAAUCUAUUUAAAAAAUAAUUUAAAAUUAAAAUAAGUAUUAAGAAAUUUUUUUUUUACUAUAAUACUUGAUCGUUUGUUAUUAUUUUUAUUUGACAUAUUUGUAAAUUAUUGGAUGAUUCCUGCGGACAUUCAAACACCAAUUUUCAAUCGGAUCUGUGUUAUUGCAAUUUAUUGUCAACUUUCUAAAUGAUUUCUUGGAACAUUCAAGUAUCCGUAACUAAUCUAAAUAGCAUGGUGCUAAGUUUAUAGGGUGCUUCCUUGCAAUGCCCAAUUAUCAAAUUAUCAGGUGCUUUGUCGGAUGCCCAGUUAUCAAAUUAUAGAAAAGGACUUCCAGUAGUCAAAUUUUGAUUGAUGGGCUAUAAUUUAUCAAUAAGUCUCGGAAUGACUAAUUGGUCGAACAAACAUGUUUUGAGAAGAGGGGAGCAGAGGAGAACCGGCCGUCCCUAGAGUAAAUAGUAAAAGGCUUGAUGGUUCAUAUCCGAGACUCAAGUUCGAAUUCUAGUUGAUUCACAUUUUCAGCUAAGUUUAUUUCUAAAUGAAAUAACGAAGCGGAUAGCGUACUAUCUAUCUAAAAAACGAAGGAGAGGAGAGAAGAGAAAAGAAGAGACGGAAUUGAUGCAAUUUUUUUUUUUUUUGUUUUCUCCCUCUGUUUUUAUUUCUUAUACAUGUAUAUGUAUAAGAACAUUAAAGCUUAAUGGAAUAAAAAAAAAUUUUAGGAAAAAUUUCAAAUACCACCGUUAUAGUUUCACAUUUUUUCACUUUAAUAGCAUAUGGUUUAAAGUGCAUCAAUUUAGUGUCCUAUGGUUUCGCAUUUUCUCACUUUAAUAUCCUAUGGUUUAAAGUGCAUCAAUUUAGCAUCCUGUAGUUUUAUUUUUUUCUUUUCGUCGGCUCCUUUGUUAAUAUUUCAUUAAAUUAUAUACAAAAAACUUCAGAUACCCUAUCUAAAUUUAUCAAAUAUUUACUUAGUACCAUUUAGUUUUAACUUUGUCAUUGAUUUUUUUUUCCUCCGUUAACAUUUCGUUAAAUUAUAUACAAAAAACUUCAAAUACCCUACCUAAGUUUAUCGAAUAUUCACUUUAGUACCCAUUAAUUUUAACUUUAUCACUGAUUUAGCGAAAAAAAUUAGUGAAAUAGAUAAUAAAAAAAAAAAAGAAAUUAAACCACAGGGUACUAACUUGAUACACUUUAAACCACAGGGUACUAAAGUGAAAAAGUGCGAAACCACAGGGACUAAUUUGAUACACUUUAAACCACAAGGUAUUAAAGUGAGAAAAUAUGAAACCACAUGGGGUAUUUGAUGUCUACCCUUUUUUUUGUGAGGGUAAUUAUUUUCUUUUGACCAGUUUAAUUGGAGUAAUCUGCAUAUUUAAGGGCGUAAUUAACCAAAGACCUUUACAUCUUUAAGGAGCGUGAUCCCUUUAUUUCUGUUUAUGCAUUUAUUAAUUUGUAAAAUUUUAAGUUUUCUUCAUAACACUUGGAUACCAACUUCAAGUCAUUUGUCACUUAUGUACACUAGAUAAAUAACACUAAGACUAAUUAAUACUAAUAAACUACUAAAGUCAUAAUUUUUUUUUUUUUUUUUGCUGUUCGCAGCUUUGCACACACAAAAGCUCAAAUUAAAACCAACAACAACAACAACAACAACAACAACAACAACAAAAAAGGACCACGAGAAGUGGGAGGUGAAAAUGAAAUAUUUUAUUCGUCUGUUUCGCGACAGGUUUAACAAGUAGCAAUUAAAAAGAAAGAGGAAGGAAGAGGAGAAAAUUACAGAAAAAAAAGUUUUUAUUCGAUUAUCCAUGAUUGAGAAAGGGUGGUACGUAAAGCAAGAAGUGGCCGGAAGAAGCCAAUUACGGCGGCGGUCGCGGGCGGCGGACAUCAUAUAUAUAUGCAUGGUAGAUAUAUAGAUCAGCUGGCUCAGGCAAGCGUAUAUAUCGAUCGAUCGUGCUCCGGUUCACGGCUUCUGCAGUCGAGGAUCAGGAUGGUUUCCGAUACGAGGGGGCUGAAAUGGCGUUUUGGAUGGCGGCUUUGGAGGAUCGGGCCCUUUCACGGGAGACGGGCAUUUUAUUUCUCGUUCCCGAACGUUGCAGUUGUUGGAAUGUGGGGGCCGAGCAACUAGGGAGCGAGAAAAGACGGGAAGCAGAUGAAGCAAAUUCAAAUGAAU
This 5293-nucleotide long non-coding RNA is filed under the name Ananas comosus (pineapple). Its description in RNAcentral is "long non-coding RNA (ACOM_LNC011577)". Lineage: Eukaryota; Viridiplantae; Streptophyta; Magnoliopsida; Poales; Bromeliaceae. The record is from RNAcentral.